AAACUUUCAACAACGGAUUUCUUGGUUCUAGCAUCGAUGAAGAACGCAGCGAAAUGCGAUAAGUAAUGUGAAUUGCAGAAUUCAGUGAUUCAUCGAAUCUUUGACCGCCCAUUGCGCCCAGCAGUAUUUUGCUGGGCAUGCCUGUCCGAGCGUCAUUU
Molecule: ribosomal RNA, 158 nt
Filed under: Huntiella savannae
Lineage: Eukaryota; Fungi; Ascomycota; Sordariomycetes; Microascales; Ceratocystidaceae
Description: 5.8S ribosomal RNA
Rfam family: 5.8S ribosomal RNA
About the family: 5.8S ribosomal RNA (5.8S rRNA) is a component of the large subunit of the eukaryotic ribosome. It is transcribed by RNA polymerase I as part of the 45S precursor that also contains 18S and 28S rRNA. Functionally, it is thought that 5.8S rRNA may be involved in ribosome translocation.
Source: RNAcentral